RNAcentral lists this ribosomal RNA (1784 nucleotides) under Candidatus Azambacteria bacterium RIFCSPLOWO2_01_FULL_44_84. RNAcentral's name for it is "bacterial LSU rRNA". It matches the Rfam family "Bacterial large subunit ribosomal RNA", at positions 1953 to 2925 of the family's 2925-position model. The record is from RNAcentral. Lineage: Bacteria; Candidatus Azamiibacteriota.
AAUUGAGCGCAAUUCCUUGCGUGGUAAGUUCACGCGCGCACGAAAGGCGUAACGACUUGGGAACUGUCUCAACCGCGUACUCGGUGAAAUUGCAAUUCCAGCGAAGAUGCUGGGUACCUGCAGCAAGACGAAAAGACCCCGGGAGCUUUACUGUAGCUUAGUAUUGGCUAUAGGACUCUAAUGCGUAGCAUAGAAGGGAGGCUUUGAAGCCGUGUUUUUGGAUGCGGUGGAGCCAUCAGUGAAAUACCUUUCUUUAGAGUUUUAUAAUCUAACCGGCAGGGCAAAAACCUGUCGGGACAGUGCUUGGCGGGCAGUUUGAGUGGGGCGCUCUCCUCCAAAAGCGUAACGGAGGAGUCCAUUAAGGUCGGCUAGCUCCGGAUGGAAAUCGGAGCGAUAGGGUAAAGCCACAAGCCGGCUUAACUGCAAGGCGUACAUGCCGCGCAGAUACGAAAGUAGGGCUUAGUGAACCGAUCGUGGUUUGUAGAAACGCGAAAGAUCAUCGGACAAAAGCUACCCCGGGGAUAACAGGCUAGUCGGGUCCAAGAGUCCACAUCGACGACCCGGUUCGGCACCUUAACAUAUCGGGGUGCAAUAUUAGUAAUGAUAUUCCUUGAAUAUAACCACUGUAUUCUAAAGAAAAAAUUGGCUUAUAACGGUGAACUCCAUGUGGUAAAAUAGCUAUAUGGACAAUACCGUGGGAAGUUUAACGAAGCUUGAACGACAAAUCGUUAUCGGUUCGCUUUUGGGUGACGGAUAUAUGAGAAUUAUACCCGGCAAGUCUAAUGCUUUUUUAGAAGUAAAUCAUUCUAUUAAAGCAAAGGAGUAUGUUGAUUAUAAAUUUGAGUCUUUAAGUAGACUCUGCGAAUCAUCUCCAAAAGAAAGAUCGACAAAUGAUGGCCGUGUUGCUUAUAGAUUCUUUACCAAACAACAUAAAGUGUUAACGGACUUGUAUCAUCAAUUUUAUCAGCAUGGAAGAAAAAUAAUUCCUGCCGGUCUAAUGCUUGAUCCCGUGACGCUAGCUGUUUGGUAUAUGGAUGACGGAAGUAAAUCUCGUGAUCGAGAUGUGUAUUUAAAUACACAGCAAUUUUCGGUGAAUGAUCAAAAGAGACUACUUCAUUGUUUAAGAUUGCUUGGCAUACAAGCAAGACUAAAUAAAGAUAAGCACUAUUUUCGAAUAAGAAUCAUGAAGGGAAGCAUCAAUCUUUUUAUGAAGAUGAUUGCCCCGCAUGUUAUUGAUUCGAUGAAAUAUAAACUCGUUAUAACCCCGUAGAGACUGUCCCCGUUUAGCGGGACGAGUGUUUUAAAUAAGAAACGCUAAUACGCCAACUCCUCAUCAUGGUUGAUUGCCAUGAGCGGAUGAAGAUAUAGUCCAUACUGUUAGUAAUAACAGAAAAAUAUACGAUGUCGGCUCAUCGCAUCCUGGGACUGGAGAAGGCCCCAAGGGUUUGGCUGUUCGCCAAUUAAAGCGGUACGUGAGCUGGGUUCAAACCGUCGUGAGACAGGUUGGUCUCUAUCUGCUGCAGGCGUUGAUAUUUGAAGAGCGUCGUUCCUAGUACGAGAGGACCGGAAUGACGGAACCUCUGGCGUACCGGCUGUCGUGCCAACGGCACCGCCGGGUACCUAUGUUCCGAAUUGAUAAGCGCUGAAAGCAUCUAAGCGCGAAGCAAUCUCUAAGAUUAGAUAUCGUUAUAGCUCCCUCGAAGAUUACGAGGUUGAUAGGCGACAGAUGUAAGCACGGUAACGUGUUGAGUCGAGUCGUACUAAUAGAGCGAAAUCUACUCAUC